Molecule: long non-coding RNA, 570 nt
Organism: Salvia hispanica
Lineage: Eukaryota; Viridiplantae; Streptophyta; Magnoliopsida; Lamiales; Lamiaceae
Source: RefSeq, a predicted model, not a curated record
GAAUCUGGAACACAAAUUUAUCUAUAAGGAACGGAAGAAAGCUAGAAAAGUUUCGCACAUGUGAAUUCACAAGGAACAGAAAAUAAAAUAACAAGAAGCUACACGAGUUGUUAUGCAAAACUGAAGAAAUGCCAGAAAGGAGUAGAAGAUUGCACCUGAUUCAGGAAAGAUACAAAUUCCUUGCCAUUGAGUGUAUUACCCUGGACAAUCUUUGGCCGGAUUAUAGAAGAAACGACUUCCUUCAACUGAUCCCUCUUCUUUACAUACAUAGGCUCAAGUUCAUCAUCCUUCAUAUCACAGAGCUUUGUGCGCUGGAGAUGGGGCUGUAAACAGGGUUCGUUUAGGAUUUUACAUCAGUAUUAAACAACCACUACCAGAAUGAAAUGCUUGGAGCCGUCCCUGCAGGAUCGCAGAUUGUUCCCAGCAGUUCAUUAUCUUUAGUUCCUAUGAUUUAGUUGUUCAGAAAUAUAGUUAAGUUUAGCAUUUAGCUGUUCCGAGUAGUGGCCUCUUAGGAGGACAGUUAUCUUUUAUUUUCUAUAUUCUUUUAGUUAUAUCGUUCUAUCUUUUAUG